Molecule: RNase P RNA, 268 nt
Filed under: Burkholderiaceae bacterium
Lineage: Bacteria; Pseudomonadati; Pseudomonadota; Betaproteobacteria; Burkholderiales; Burkholderiaceae
Description: partial RNase P RNA component class A
Rfam family: Bacterial RNase P class A
About the family: Ribonuclease P (RNase P) is a ubiquitous endoribonuclease, found in archaea, bacteria and eukarya as well as chloroplasts and mitochondria.
Source: RNAcentral
CACCUCUGCACCGACCGCCGAAAGGUCUAAGGUGACGAUUAGAGCAACAGAGACGAGCCGCUUAAGUGCGGGUGAAACGGGCAAUCUCUACGCGCAGCAAUACCAAAUAGGCCAACACGUGAAACUUAGGUUUUGCAACCUGCGUUCCGUAGGUUGUUGGCGGGUAGGUAGCACCGAGCCGCUUGGGUGACCAGCGGCCCAGAUGAAUGACGGUCACGGUGGGGGCAACCCCACUGCACAAAAUCCGGCGUAUCGGCCAGCUUCACAC